GAACCCAUCACAGGAAUCGAAUCCGGGCCGCCCGCGUGGCAGGCGAGCAUUCUACCACUGAACCACCAAUGCU
RNAcentral lists this transfer RNA (73 nucleotides) under Cordylochernes scorpioides. Its description in RNAcentral is "tRNA-Gly". The record is from RNAcentral. Lineage: Eukaryota; Metazoa; Arthropoda; Arachnida; Pseudoscorpiones; Chernetidae.